AGAGUUUGCUCAUGGCUCAGAAAGAACGCUGGCGGCACGCUUUACACACACAAGUGCGAGCGCGCUCUUAGGUGAGAGCGGCGGACGGGUUAGUAACGCGUGGGAAUAUACCCUUCAGUAGGGAAUAACCUGGAAAAGGUGAGUAAUACCUUAUACGCCCUUCGGGGGAAAGAUUUAUCGCUGAAAGAUGGCCCGCGUUAGAUUAGAUAGUUGGUGAGGUAAUGGCUCUACCAAGUCGACGAUCUAUAGCUGGUUUGAGAGGAUGAUCAGCAACACUGGGA
RNAcentral lists this ribosomal RNA (281 nucleotides) under uncultured Thalassovita sp. Its description in RNAcentral is "uncultured Thalassobius sp. partial 16S ribosomal RNA". It matches the Rfam family "Bacterial small subunit ribosomal RNA", at positions 8 to 318 of the family's 1533-position model. Lineage: Bacteria; Pseudomonadati; Pseudomonadota; Alphaproteobacteria; Rhodobacterales; Roseobacteraceae. The record is from RNAcentral.